This 73-nucleotide transfer RNA is filed under the name Cricetulus griseus (Chinese hamster). It matches the Rfam family "tRNA". From Rfam's summary of the family: Transfer RNA (tRNA) molecules are approximately 80 nucleotides in length. Lineage: Eukaryota; Metazoa; Chordata; Mammalia; Rodentia; Cricetidae. The record is from Rfam by way of RNAcentral.
CCUCAGCUAACUCAGUCCGUAGAGCAUGAGACUCUUAAUCUCAGGGUUGUGGGUUCGUGACCCACAUUGGGGG